UGUUAUCUCUGUCGCUGUCAUUUCCUCAUAGAACCCUAGCCGUAUUCGCCCUCCCCUUCUUGCCGUUCCUUUCGCCUACGACAACCAUCUCACCUACAUCCUUUUGCGUUCUGGUUUUCGUCCCUUUCCGGUUCCCGGCUCCUUCAAUUUCGUGUUAUUGCCUCCAUUAUUGAGUGGAUGCCUCACCGUAAGCUCUUAUCUUCUCUCCGCCAUCACCAGAACAAAAACUUAUAUCACUCAAGUUUGAUUACUGUUCAAGGUAUUCUCCUUUCAUUUUCUCUUUUAACUAGCCCAAUUUUGUAUUUAUAACUCACUUUCCAUGGUAAGAACUCAUUGUUCAGCUUGGAAGAGGAAGUAGAUUAUGUCAUUCAAUUUGAACACGAAAUUCCAUCGGUGCGGCGAAUGAAGUAAUUGGUCAGUCUUGCAUUCUCUUGAGGUUUCUGGAAUUUACUUGGAGAUCAAGAGGAACAAUGGAAAAAGGACCUGUCCUCUAUGCACACAAGAGAUGGAUUAGAGAGAUAAGCAAUUGAAAUUCUGUUGAUGUUAUGAGAAAUCCAACGGGUUGUGCAACAAAAUCUUCAAGCGCUGUUAAUCUUGAAAAUUGAAUUCACUUGAUUGAAUUUGAUUUUUUAUUUGAGUAUAAGGGUUACUAUAUUACCUCUUAGAAGUAACACUGUUGAAGACUAUCUACUAUUAUUUAGUAGUACUUUCUGAUUUUUUAUUAGAGUUAAGUAGUUUAAGUAAUUAUAGGAUAAUACCAAAUUCUUUGUAUAGUAUAGUGUUUUUAGUAGUCUAAAAGCUGCAGUCAGGAAUUUAGGAAUGAGAUCACCCAUUAGGGAUCUUAACAACGUUUAUUGUAUAUUUAGUUUUAGAGUUAAACUUUAUGUACAAUUAUUUAUACUUGAAUUCUUUUUUAUGUAAUGAAUAAAUCUUUUCAUAAGAAGUAUAAGUUAAAAAGUAUUGUGAAAUACAAUUUCAGUACAAUUGUGACCCUAAAGUACGUAUAAGCAAUAUAUGGAAUUUGAAGAAUAUGCAAUAUAUGGAAUUUAAGAUGAAAGUAUGAAUUGAAGAAUAUGCAACGCUUUACAAGUGUUCCAUAAAGAAUAUAUUAAAUUUUAAAUCGUGGUCAAUAAAAAAGGCAACAGUUUUUUUGUGUGGG
Vicia villosa (hairy vetch) is the source of this 1159-nucleotide long non-coding RNA. RefSeq lists it as uncharacterized. The transcript has 3 exons. The record is from RefSeq and is a predicted model, not a curated record. NCBI's taxonomy places the organism in Eukaryota, Viridiplantae, Streptophyta, Magnoliopsida, Fabales, Fabaceae.